This is a non-coding RNA of Equus quagga, 435 nucleotides long. NCBI's taxonomy places the organism in Eukaryota, Metazoa, Chordata, Mammalia, Perissodactyla, Equidae. The record is from the annotation of a RefSeq genome assembly.
AUGGCCUGGACCCCUCUCUUGUUAGCCUUCCUCACUCUCUGCACAGGUCCUGUUGUCUCUUCUGCAGUGACUCAGCCAUCUGCGGUGUCCGUGGCCUUGGGACAAACGGCCACCAUCACCUGCCAGGGAAGCGACUUAGAAAGUUAUUAUGCUAGCUGGUACCAGCAGAAGCCAGGCCAGGCUCCUGUGCUGGUCAUCGAUGCUGAUAAUGACCGGCCUUCAGGGAUCCCUGAAAGAUUCUCUGGCUCCAGCUCAGGAGACACAGCCACCCUGACCAUCAGCAGGGCCAAGGCUGAGGACGAGGCUGACUAUUACUGUCUGGCAGCAGAUGCUUCUGCUUCUAAAGCUCACAGUGAUACAGCCUUAUGGGGAAGUGAGACACAAACCUCUUCCCCAUCUGUGUCACAGUCACUUCCAGGCCCAGGAGGACGGUAG